This is a non-coding RNA of Nothobranchius furzeri (turquoise killifish), 421 nucleotides long. The record is from RefSeq and is a predicted model, not a curated record. NCBI's taxonomy places the organism in Eukaryota, Metazoa, Chordata, Actinopteri, Cyprinodontiformes, Nothobranchiidae.
UCUCUGUGUUUCACUUUGAUGUCUUAUUUUGAAAAACCGGAAAUUGUUCCGCUGAAGUCACUCUUCCGGGAGACGUCCGGGUGAUAACUUGACGGAGAAGAACUCCGAUCUCAAAUUGACCGCAAAUUACAGACCUAACUUUGAUUUAUCCCAUCUUCGCCUUCGGAGCGAACGUAACAUGCCAAGACGCAGGAGACUGUUCACCGGCUGGGCAACGCUGGUCCCUCCGCCCGCCCGAACGGGCCCGUUUUAGGCGGGUGCCGCCGGUCGGGAACAGUGGGGACUAGUGGCUGCGGUUCGGUGCCAGCUGCACUGGGUCGGAGGGGGUCAAAAACCCACCAUCAACAUCAAGGCUGAACAUCCCUCCAGCAUGGGUGUGAAAUCUUCAGGCUGUGACCCACCGCUUCAGUCAGAGGUCUGU